Eucalyptus grandis is the source of this 781-nucleotide long non-coding RNA. RefSeq lists it as uncharacterized. Lineage: Eukaryota; Viridiplantae; Streptophyta; Magnoliopsida; Myrtales; Myrtaceae. The transcript has 2 exons. The record is from RefSeq and is a predicted model, not a curated record.
GGCCUUACACGUAUUGCAGCAUCUGCGAUAACAGCUCACUCCUCAACCAAAAGUCUCGAACUUUAUCACGAACUUUCCUGGGUUCUCGAUAGCGUGACGAAAAUGCGAAGCAAUCGCGGGACAGCAUCAUCGGCGGGUAUCCUUCGAGCACUACGGGUGAUGGGAAGUCGUUCCUGAAACCGAGCUUUACGCACAGAGAAACUAAAAAGCGUAUAUUUCUGUCUCAUCAACUUUUUUUCCAGAGAAAGAAACAUCAGAGGCGGUAGAACAGAGGUCGGGAGGGAGAGACAGAGAGAGCCAGCGAGAAUGUGCUGCGGAGAUGAUUGCAGGCCGCUGGCGUUCCUGCUUGGCCUUCCCUUCGCCCUUCUCUCUCUCCUAGUCUCCAUAGUCGGCAUCAUCGUCUGGAUCGUUGGAUUGCUGUUGACUCUGAUAUGCCCCUGCUUCCUGUGCGUGACCCUGCUAGUGGAGUUCGCGCUGGAGCUGAUCAAAGCCCCCUUCACGUCAUGGAGUGGUUCACUUCUCAGAUACCCUGUUGAUCAUACCGAUCACCAUUUGAUGACCGUUUCUGCUUUUCAGAGCUGACUGGUAUUUCUCCUCUUUCCCGUACGUGGAUUUCAUGGCAGUAUCUCUGUGAUGUGCGGCCGAUUACUGGGUUUGUAUGUAAUGAAAAAAAAAAGGGAAAUCCGCUCUUGUGAAAUUUCUAGAAAAAUUUGAUUGAAGUCGAUUCGUCUUUCAUUUGCAGUUGCAGACAUGAGUAUGAUUAGCCGUUUUUCUUGAUUCA